UAGGGAAUAUUGGGCAAUGGGCGCAAGCCUGACCCAGCAACACCGCGUGAGGGAAGAAGGUUUUCGGAUUGUAAACCUCUGUCCUAUGUGACGAAGGAAGUGACGGUAGCAUAGGAGGAAGCCCCGGCUAACUACGUGCCAGCAGCCGCGGUAAUACGUAGGGGCAAGCGUUGUCCGGAAUGACUGGGCGUAAAGGGUGUGUAGGCGGUUUUACAAGUUAGAUGUGAAAUACCCAGGGCUUAACUCGGGUGCUGCAUCUAAGACUGUAAGACUUGAGUGUCGGAGAGGUAAAUGGAAUUCCUAGUGUAGCGGUGGAAUGCGUAGAUAUUAGGAGGAACACCAGUGGCGAAGGCGAUUUACUGGACGAUAACUGACGCUGAGGCACGAAAGCGUGGGGAGCAAACAGGAUUAGAUACCCUGGUAGU
This 425-nucleotide ribosomal RNA is filed under the name uncultured bacterium. Its description in RNAcentral is "bacterial SSU rRNA". It matches the Rfam family "Bacterial small subunit ribosomal RNA", at positions 355 to 794 of the family's 1533-position model. The record is from RNAcentral.